Pelobates cultripes (western spadefoot toad) is the source of this 228-nucleotide non-coding RNA. The record is from the annotation of a GenBank genome assembly. NCBI's taxonomy places the organism in Eukaryota, Metazoa, Chordata, Amphibia, Anura, Pelobatidae.
CUUUCGUUGAGACACUGGGAAAAUAAUGAUUCAUUAACAAUUUCCAAUAUUAUGCAAGGGGAUAAUAUUCUUUCCUUCCAACAAUUAGUUUACAACUUACAUAUCCCGCCAAGAGAAAUAUUUACUUAUCUUCGAAUUAAAAACUUUAUACAUAAAAAUGUUAUUCAAACUUCUUCUCUAUUGGCUAAGAAUUUAGAAACUAUAUUCUGUAAUCGCCCUGUUAACAAG